CAGAAGCCAAAGUGGGUUUUUGCGCUGAGGAACAAGUUUUGCUUCCCAUCCAUAAAGAUGAGCUGCUGUAGAUGUUGUGGUGGUCGGGGCUGCGGCUGUUGCUGUGGAAGAGCCAGGCCAAGGGUGGUCUACUACGUAGGGAGACCUGCCGUUCCUUGCUGUGGAUAUCGCCGGUACACCUACGUCCCCUGCUACGUCCCGACGCGAAGCUGCUGUGCUCCAGCCCGCUCUUGCUGCUACAUUCAACAGUGUUAUGGCCAAGUGAAGAAAUGCUGAGGAAACUCCACUUGUGAACCAGGUCGCCGGCAAGAUUCCGAACCAACUGCUGGGAGAGCGAUAGCAUCACCGCUCCGUGCUGGAAACUUGCCUGUUUACCUCUUGCAAAAUAAAACGCUUGGAGCUCUA
Sphaerodactylus townsendi is the source of this 405-nucleotide long non-coding RNA. RefSeq lists it as uncharacterized. The record is from RefSeq and is a predicted model, not a curated record. The transcript has 2 exons. Lineage: Eukaryota; Metazoa; Chordata; Lepidosauria; Squamata; Sphaerodactylidae.